AGAGGAUAGGGGCUGUAGUGGGUGCAGGGUGUACAGGGGUCUAGGGCUGCCUGGAGUAGGGGCUGUAGUGGGUGCAGGGAGAUAAGGGCUCUAGGGCUGCCUGGGUAGGGGCUGUAGUGGGUGCAGAGGAUAGGGGCUGUAGUGGGUGCAGGGUGUACAGGGGUCUAGGGCUGCCUGGAGUAGGGGCUGUAGUGGGUGCAGGGAGAUAAGGGCUCUAGGGCUGCCUGGGUAGGGGCUGU
Non-coding RNA from Pelobates cultripes (western spadefoot toad), 239 nucleotides. NCBI's taxonomy places the organism in Eukaryota, Metazoa, Chordata, Amphibia, Anura, Pelobatidae. The record is from the annotation of a GenBank genome assembly.